Molecule: ribosomal RNA, 478 nt
Filed under: uncultured Planctomycetales bacterium
Lineage: Bacteria; Pseudomonadati; Planctomycetota; Planctomycetia; Planctomycetales
Description: bacterial SSU rRNA
Rfam family: Bacterial small subunit ribosomal RNA
Source: RNAcentral
UUCGCAAUGCCCGAAAGGGUGACGAAGCGACGCCGCGUGUGGGAAGAAGGCCUUCGGGUUGUAAACCACUGUCGGGAGUUAAGAAAUGCAAGGAUAUUAAUAGUGUCUUUGCUUGACUAAGGCUCCGGAGGAAGCCACGGCUAACUCUGUGCCAGCAGCCGCGGUAAUACAGAGGCGGCAAGCGUUGUUCGGAAUUAUUGGGCGUAAAGAGCACGUAGGCGGCUAUGUAAGUCGGUUGUGAAAGCCUUCCGCUCAACGGGAGAACAGCAUCCGAUACUACAUGGCUUGAGUGCGGGAGGGGAGAGUGGAACUUCUGGUGGAGCGGUGAAAUGCGUAGAUAUCAGAAGGAACGCCGGCGGCGAAAGCGGCUCUCUGGCCCAUAACUGACGCUGAGUGUGCGAAAGCUAGGGGAGCAAACGGGAUUAGAUACCCCGGUAGUCCUAGCCGUAAACGAUGGGCACUAAGUAGAGGGGUUUUA